AGCACGGUGCAGUGGUUUAAGCAUUGGACUAGGGCUCUGGAGACCAGGGUUCAAAUUCCUGCUCAGCUA
Molecule: non-coding RNA, 69 nt
Organism: Phrynosoma platyrhinos (Desert horned lizard)
Lineage: Eukaryota; Metazoa; Chordata; Lepidosauria; Squamata; Phrynosomatidae
Source: the annotation of a GenBank genome assembly